UGCAAUACAAAGUCAAUGGAGACUAUUGGAUUGAUUUCCCCCCCGGUGGGCGUGGUUUUCAGGUUGUGACGCGCUGCGCUCUGUCUCUAUGAGGGCACAUUAUUUUUUUUAAAUAAUGAAGCUCACAGAUAAGUCAUUUGUAAUAAAUACCCAAUAUUCCAAAACAAAUUACAGUUUUUCAUUUUAUUUUCAUUGCAACUUUAAAUGACCUCACCUUUAAGACCCAAAAUUUAUUUGAAUUUAUUAAUAAAACGUACAAAAGAGACUUAGUUUCACAUCAUUUUGUGCUGUGAAAGUAAUUUGUGUAUGUUUGAUUUGAUGUUUUCACAAGGUAGCAUCGCGCUCACUGGAGGCAUCACUUUAAACGGUACGUGACGUAAAAUGACGCGUCUCCCUGAGGGCGGGGUUGAUUCAUCUGUCCCAGAUCAGUGGUCGGAUAUCCGACUUAAAGUGCCGUUGUAUAUGUUUAUUUUCUAUUUAAAUUGGGAAAUAUCUUAAAUCCGAGAUAAAACGUAGCUUUUAUCAAGCCAGGUAGUCCCGCCCAAGAUGAAGUCUCAUUGAGCCGAAGUCCAAGUAGCCCCGCCCAAAGUAAAAUCUCAUUGGACUAAAGUCUUUUAAUUAUGAAUAUUAAUCAACAAGCAUGAACGCCUGAAGAUUGAUUAUGGUGGAUCAGAAGCUACUACUACACUUUACAAAAAAAGUACACAAGUUAUUAAAAGACAAACUGAAAAGGCAUGCGGUCCAGAGAAAGAUCUUUUUAUAAAUCAAAGGACGGACCGUUGGCUAAUGAGUGUGUUUACUGUGUGGGCUGAGCGAGGAAUUUACCGCAGCCCUCUCAUGACGGUGGAGCCAAUGGAUGAUUCACUUAAUUACGAAGGCAGACUGGAGAAACGUUCGUGUAAUGAUCUGGUGAAAGACGUGAUGGGCUUACGCUUACAAGCACAGUCCAUUCACUGACUGGCUGUGCGUGCUUUCUGGAAAUCAGCAGCUACAUUAUGAUUGGCUGACUUUACUCAAAGUUUCAUAGUGUUGAUACCGCCCUAUGACCCGUACCGACGCUCAAGUUUAUAUUCCUCUGGGUGAAAGCGGACCUCGCAGACCACCCCUCCUGUACAGCACUCCAUCAGGUCCUGGUACAUAUUAAUGUUAUUUUCGGGUCAUUUAACAUUGCUGUGCAGGAGGGCUAGGGGCUGACACAAAACCGUAAAUCACAGGGCUGUGGAACGGGCCGGUGCCAUAACACAUUAUCGUAUGGAUUUUAGGUGGGACCAUCGUUCAUCCUCUCUCUCGGGGAAUGACAUCAGGGCCGGUUUGGAGAUGCCCGUGACAGCCGUGCGCUAAUUGAAUAUGACGAAGUGUUCUCCGGCUCACCUUCUGGCACCUCGGGACCGUGCAGCCGGCGAUGAGAGACCGAGAAGGAGAUUUCGCGAUUUCCUCGGCUUUUGAAGUGCAAGGCCGACGGUGAAAGCGAAGCCGCUAAUGCAAUAGCGCGCAUUGUGGAAGGCUCAAGUCUGUCUGUCUGCGUCUGCGACUGCUGGAGACGCCAGAGUAAAACCACAUGUUAAGAGGCACGCGGAGUGGAGAGGCUCUUGACCACCCAUCGCAUAUGAUGAUACCAGGUGUCUCGCUCUUUGUUCUCGUUGCGCGUAUACCUUCAUUAUAUAAAAAGCGCACUGACAGGGAUGGGCCGGAAAAAUCUGCGCAGCAGAUGCCAUUGUGGACGAGGCGAACACCCACUGUUGUCCCAAGAUAGGGCCCCUUCUGUUUAUAGUUAUAAUUCUUGUCAACCUUCGAACGAACAAUUUGUUUAUGAAUAUUCGUACGUAUUUUACGAGGUGGCUAAUUCGAAUUAAUUUCGUACGAAGUGAGUCGAACAAAAACGUACGAUUAUCAUAAAAAUACAAUAACGAAACCACACCCCUAACCCCAACGUCACAUGGGCAAAAGCAAAGCAACAAUGUAAGAAUGUAGUCGUACGAAUUAAUAUGAAUUGGCCACCUCUUAAAAUACGCACGAAUUGUCAUGAGAUAACGUUAUUUAUACAGUAAGCACAGCUUGGGUCCUAGAACAUGAAAUUGCUUAUUUCGUAACAGCAGCUGUUUUUCGUUGUGACUGUACACAAAUAAAUGUUCCUAAAGGUGCUUUGUCACGCUUUAUAAGACGAUAUAUACGAUGUUAACCUUCAACAUCCACAUAAUUAUUAUUUAUUUAUUUAUUGAACAAAAGGUUCUUUAUAGAGUAUAAUGGGUAAGAAAUGUUUCUUAGAGAUAACCAAAAAUUGUUCUUUAUUUUUAAGUGUAUUAGAAUAACAAUUUAUUUCCUCACCAGGAAGUAGUAAUAUAAAAAUUGGGUUGCAACAAAGAUAAUAUAUUUCUAGCUAAAUUAAACAUCAUAACAGAUCGAAAAUUACUCCAAAUUAACUGGAUAAACCUCUCUCUGCAAAUGUUCACCUCAGAUUGUAAAUGCAGAGAAGAUACACGCAUAAAACAUGCAAAAAAUCAGUUUAAAGUACAAGUAACUUUAGUAACUUGUUAUUUGCAUGGAAGCUGUUCAUUUUAUUUACCAAAAUACUGUAAAUUUGGUGUGAACCUGCACAUUUUGGUAUGUUACUGUUAAAUAAUUAAACGAAUAAGUGACAAACUGAUUUUCUGAAAUUUGUAUGAAUUUUGAAUACUGACGUCAGUUUAGUUCGCAGUUUUACGGGACCAAAGUUUUUCCAUACCAAGUGAUAUGCAGUUAUCUAUACAAUGUUUUUUUUUAUAUUCUUACAAAUCAUUGUUUUUUGGCAAAUAUAUUUUAUAAUAAAAUGAUUAUUGUUAUUUUGCAUAAUUUAAUUUAUUUAACACAUAGCCUAUUAAAUAUUGGUUUGUAUAAUAGGACUUUGUUCUACUCUAAAUCAUGGAAUUUUAAUGCGUAUUACCAAAUGAAUUCAUGUGAUAAAAUAUGCGUUGUUGACAUUCUUCUAGUUACAACAAAGUUAAACGAAGAGUUGAUAUUAGAUGUAAUCUUUCAUUAAAGAUUAAGCUGCACAGCUGUUAUCAGACUUUUCUAUUGAUAUAUGUAUAUACCUCACCACUCUUCUU
This is a non-coding RNA of Misgurnus anguillicaudatus (oriental weatherfish), 3083 nucleotides long. NCBI's taxonomy places the organism in Eukaryota, Metazoa, Chordata, Actinopteri, Cypriniformes, Cobitidae. The record is from RefSeq and is a predicted model, not a curated record.